Molecule: ribosomal RNA, 132 nt
Filed under: uncultured Bifidobacterium sp.
Lineage: Bacteria; Bacillati; Actinomycetota; Actinomycetes; Bifidobacteriales; Bifidobacteriaceae
Description: partial 16S ribosomal RNA
Rfam family: Bacterial small subunit ribosomal RNA
Source: RNAcentral
UACUCCUACGGGAGGCAGCAGUGGGGAAUAUUGCACAAUGGGCGCAAGCCUGAUGCAGCGACGCCGCGUGAGGGAUGGAGGCCUUCGGGUUGUAAACCUCUUUUAUCGGGGAGCAAGCGAGAGUGAGUUUAC